Molecule: small RNA, 68 nt
Filed under: Streptomyces albireticuli
Lineage: Bacteria; Bacillati; Actinomycetota; Actinomycetes; Kitasatosporales; Streptomycetaceae
Description: ASdes TB sRNA
Rfam family: ASdes TB sRNA
Source: Rfam by way of RNAcentral
AGCGCCACCGGGUCCACGGCGCGCGACGUCAGCAGGUAGUCCCGCAUGACGAUGCCGUGCCGGCCCUC